UUGGCUUUGGAGGAAAAACAAUUGACAAAAACCUAGAUCAAUGUUUUCACUUUGCAAAUAUUAAUACAAGGCAUAGAAAUAAAUGAAAAAAGGUUGUGUGGAGAUCAAAUUCUAACCCAGAAAAUUCAGUGUGUCCCAGCAACUUGUUUAUACAGUAAACAAUCAGUCUGUGUUCCCUUGACAGGAAACUGCCAAUGGCCAUCAGAACAAUCACACAUUCUUCCAUUGGAGAAAGGCAGCCAGGACAAACUUUGAAAAUCUAAUAUGAUUGGUCAUAUGUCUAGAUCCUCUGGGUUUAGACUUCUGAAGUAAAAAAUCUCUAAAAGUUGUUUCUGGAAAGUGAAGAGAAUUAAAUCUUUAAAUGUAGUGAAAGUGAAGAGAGCAAAGUAAGAAAUGGAAACUAUUAACCAGCACAUGUAAUAAACAUAUGUAAAACUGUAUAAUCUAUAGCAAAUAGCAAAUACAUGUUCUUUUUUAUUAUGGAAACAUUUGUCAAUAUUUAUCAUAUUACCAUAAAGAAAAUCUUAAGAAAUUCUAAAACAUACAAACCUUAGAGCAACUCAAACCCAAGGUUACAAAUCAUUUACAAAAGUAUGUAGCCUCAUUGUGGAUAUUUUGGUUAUUAAACAAGAAAGAUGUAAAAAAUUUAAAUAAAUUAAAUAUUUAACUUAUGAAACUAAAGAUAACACCAACACAAUCCAAGUAAAAUUAUUAGAUAACUAAUGAUAAUAACAACUGAAUUUAAUAAAUUAGAAAACAAAAUGCAAUUAAUAACCAAAAACUUCUUCAGAGCAUUAAAGUUACCCCCUCUUCCUUGAAAGUAUUUAAAAGAAGAGACAAGAAGGAAGAGAACUACAACUUUUAAAAUAAAACAGAAGUUAGAAAUAUAAAUGUUAAGAGAUUAGAUGAGCUAGAAGAAAUAUUUCGUGCAACAUUAUGUCAAUACAUUUAAAAAUAUAGAUCAAAAUAAUAACUUCCUAAGAAGAUGAGUUGUUAAAAUUGGCUCAACAAAGAUGAAUCAAGGAAGCAUCCACACUAUUCCAGUAACCAGAAAAUAAAUGUAAAUAUUUGUCAAAGAUCUACUCUUUAAAAAGAUACCAGGAUUAUGAAUAACUCUUAUGUAAAUUUGAUAGCCUAGAGAAAAUGAACCAACUUCAUGAAUGACAUAACCAAAUCUCACACAAGGACAAACGGAUUAUCUAAAUAGGCACAUAUCUAUAACCAAAUUGAAUCAAUAAUUAAUAACUUUCCAAAACAGAUAGCACCAGACCUGCAUGUAUUCACUAGUGAAUCCAAACAGUUAAGGAAGAAAUGCUACUAUGUUUUUACAGUUUCUUCCAGAAAAUAGAAGGAAUACUUCCUAACACGUUCUAUGACACAGCAUUAACAUAAUACCAAAACUAGACAAAAACAUUACAAAAAGAGGAAACUAAAGACCAAUAUCUCUCAUAAACAUCGAUGCAAAAAUCUUCAAUAAGGUACUAGCCAAUCAUAUUUAACAAUAUAAAGAAUUAUGCACAUAGCCAAGUGGGAUUUAUUCUAGGUAUAAAAGUCUAGUUCAACAUUCAAAAAUCAAUGAAUAUAAUCUAUUACAUCAAUAGGCCAAAGAAGAAAAAUUAUAUAAUCAGUUAAAUCAAAUAAGUAGUUGCAGAAAAAAAGUUUGACCAAAUCCAACACUCAUUCAUCAUGAAAACUCGCAGUAAACUAGGAAUAAACGGGAACUUCCUCAACUUCAUAAAUAAUUAUAUACAAAAAACAAUAGCUAACAUCAUAAUGGUGAGAAAAUAGAUGGUAUCCUUCUAAGAUCAGGAACAAGGUAAUAAUGUCUGCUUUCACCACUCUUGUUCAGCAUCAUAUUGGAACCCCUAGCUAAUGCAAUAAGAGAAUAAAUGGAAAUAAAAUAUAUAAAGGUUUGAAGAAAGAAAUUAAGCCUUCUUUGUUAGCAGAUGACACGAUUGUCUAUGUAGAAAAUUUCAAAGAAUAAAUAAAUAAAUAAAUAACUCCUGGAGCUAUUAAGCACUUAUAGAAAUGUUGCAGGGUACAAGGCUACUAUACAAAAGUCAACUGAUUUCCUAUAUACCAGCAAACAACAGGAUUUGAAUUAAAAACACAAUACCAUUUACAUUAGCACUAAAAAAGAAAAUGAAACACUUAGGUAUAAAUC
This 2164-nucleotide long non-coding RNA is filed under the name Macaca mulatta (Rhesus monkey). RNAcentral's name for it is "lncRNA (ENSMMUG00000063027.1)". The record is from RNAcentral. Lineage: Eukaryota; Metazoa; Chordata; Mammalia; Primates; Cercopithecidae.